Molecule: ribosomal RNA, 484 nt
Filed under: uncultured bacterium
Lineage: Bacteria
Description: partial 16S ribosomal RNA
Rfam family: Bacterial small subunit ribosomal RNA
Source: RNAcentral
AUUGAACGCUGGCGGCAGGCCUAACACAUGCAAGUCGAGCGGAUGAAGGGAGCUUGCUCCUGGAUUCAGCGGCGGACGGGUGAGUAAUGCCUAGGAAUCUGCCUGGUAGUGGGGGAUAACGUCCGGAAACGGGCGCUAAUACCGCAUACGUCCUGAGGGAGAAAGUGGGGGCUCUUCGGACCUCACGCUAUCAGAUGAGCCUAGGUCGGAUUAGCUAGUUGGUGGGGUAAAGGCCUACCAAGGCGACGAUCCGUAACUGGUCUGAGAGGAUGAUCAGUCACACUGGAACUGAGACACGGUCCAGACUCCUACGGGAGGCAGCAGUGGGGAAUAUUGGACAAUGGGCGAAAGCCUGAUCCAGCCAUGCCGCGUGUGUGAAGAAGGUCUUCGGAUUGUAAAGCACUUUAAGUUGGGAGGAAGGGCAGUAAGUUAAUACCUUGCUGUUUUGACGUUACCAAAAGAAUAAGCACCGGCUAACUUCGUG